RNAcentral lists this ribosomal RNA (253 nucleotides) under uncultured bacterium. Its description in RNAcentral is "partial 16S ribosomal RNA". It matches the Rfam family "Bacterial small subunit ribosomal RNA", at positions 524 to 776 of the family's 1533-position model. The record is from RNAcentral.
GACAGAGGGUGCAAACGUUGUUCGGAAUUACUGGGCGUAAAGCGCGUGUAGGCGGCCCUGCAAGUCGGAUGUGAAAUCCCACGGCUCAACCGUGGAAGUGCAUUCGAAACUGCAGGGCUAGAGUCCUGGAGAGGAAGGUGGAAUGCUUGGUGUAGAGGUGAAAUUCGUAGAUAUCGGGAGGAACACCAGUGGCGAAGGCGGCGAUCUGGGAAGAUACUGACGCUGAGGUGCGAAAGCGUGAGGAGCAAACAGG